AUGGCGGUCGCCACCGCGUCUGGCGUGAUCUCCUCCCUGCUGGUUCUCGCCGGAGUCGUGGUCACGGCGCAGCCACCUCCUGCGGCGGGAGGGCCACCCACUACACCUCCGCCGGCGGUAGGGCCGCCCAAGGCGCCUCCGUUGCCGGCCGGGCCGCCUAAGUUCCCGGCGAUCCUCGCGUUCGGCGACUCGGUGGCCGACACGGGCAACAACAACCACCUCCGGACGUUCAUCCGGGCCAACUUCCCACCCUACGGCAAGGACUUCCCCGGUCACAAGCACACCGGCCGGUUCUCCAACGGCAAGAUCAGCGUCGACCUCCUAGCGUCGGCGCUGGGCGUGAAGGAGCUGCUGCCGCCGUACCUGAAGAAGGGCCUCUCCGUCGAGGAGCUCAAGACGGGCGUGAGCUUCGCCUCCGCGGGCAACGGCUUCGACAACGCCACCUGCCGGACCAUGUCGGCGCUGACGAUGGAGCGGCAGCUGCAGCUGUUCCAGGAGUACAAGGAGAGGGUCGGGGGCAGCGUCCCGGACAAGGCCCUCUACUUCAUCGUCACGGGCAGCAACGACAUCGUGGAGCACUUCACCUUCGCGGACGGCAUCACGGAGCCCGGGUACGCGGAGAACAUGGUGAGCCGCGCCAUCGCCUACGUGCAGUCGCUGGCGGACCUGGGCGCGAAGCGGAUCGCGCUGGUGGGGGCGCCGCCGGUGGGGUGCCUGCCGUCGCAGCGCAUGAUCGCCGGCGGGCUCCGGAAGCAGUGCGCCACGGACCGCAACCAGCUCGCCCUGCUCUUCAACCACAGGGUGGGGCAGGAGAUGGCGAGGCUGGGCGUCAGGCUCCCGGGGGUCACGCUCGUGAACGUCGACAUCUACACCAUCCUCGCCGACGUGAUCUAUCGGCCGGAAGCGUUCGGGUUGACCAACACCCACGACGCCUGCUGCGGCUACAUCGGGCUGGCCGCCGCCGUGCUCUGCAACUUCGCCAGCCCGCUCUGCAAGGACCCCUCCAAGUACUUGUUCUGGGACAGCUACCACCCCACCGAGAGGGGCUACCAGAUCCUCAUCGACGCCGUCGUCGCCAAAUACUUCAGAUUCAUGCACUAG
RNAcentral lists this ribosomal RNA (1101 nucleotides) under Triticum aestivum (bread wheat). RNAcentral describes it as "partial small subunit ribosomal RNA". The record is from RNAcentral. Lineage: Eukaryota; Viridiplantae; Streptophyta; Magnoliopsida; Poales; Poaceae.